Saccostrea cuccullata (small rock oyster) is the source of this 1361-nucleotide long non-coding RNA. RefSeq lists it as uncharacterized. The transcript has 3 exons. The record is from RefSeq and is a predicted model, not a curated record. NCBI's taxonomy places the organism in Eukaryota, Metazoa, Mollusca, Bivalvia, Ostreida, Ostreidae.
UAUAUAGCUUUAUCAAGCUAUAUACCUUUAUCGGGGUAUUGUGCUGGACCUGAUACAGGGGUCCUGGGUUCGAUUCCCGUUCCAGCCACAAGUUUUCAUCGUGCAUUUCUCCUUUCCUACUUCAUUUGGUGCUGUGCCAUGCCCUGGAACUGACAGGUGAAAGACCUGCCAGGGAUGAGCCGGAGUUGGGGUCUAAAGACCUUUAAGGAGGGAGGAAUGUGGCGGUCAGCUGGGUUCGAUUGCCGGUGGCCAGAUAGCUCAGUUGGUAGAGCACCUGACCGGAGUUUCAUGGGGCCUGGGUUCAAAUCCCGGUCUGGUCCACUGCAUUUUCUCCUCUUUAUUUAUUUAUCAAUCUCAUACAAUUAUAUACAUUAAAACUUAUUUUAUAGCAUAAGUACAAGAGAACCAGGCAGUAACAAAGAUGAAAGAUGCUGUUGCUGAAAGAUCCAGUCAAGCACUAAACUGACUUGAAUGAUCAGCCUCCUUAAAAAUGCAAAUCAAAUACAGGUUUUUGUCAGCUUAUCUGGAAAUCUUAGGACAUCACUGAUUUGAUCAAGAACUCAUCCAGCGUGAAGACCAGCCAUGUGCCUCACUUGUCAUGACAUUAUUAAAGCACUUUGUGACAGUGGGAAGAUGGGAUUUAAAACAUGACAUGGCUCUAUAUUAUUGCAUCAAAGACCAAUCCAGGUUUACGUAUAAAGUGAAGGAAAACAGUCAAGUAUCAUUUGGAGCCACGUGUACAUAUGUAACCGCCUAGGCGCCUUCACAAUAUGUCCUCUUAUUUAAGAAAUCACAGUGACCAGUUGUACCUAUGAUGUCGGACGAGAUCCUGAUAAAAACGUCUGCCGCACUCAUCACCAACUGCAAAGAAAUGAAAUUUUUAAAUGACUUGUAUCAACACUUUUGUACUACAUCUGGCUUGUAUUUUCAGAUCUUGUUAGCCUUUAUUUUCCUUCAAACAAAAUUUUAUAAGUACUAACCUGCAGGUGUAAAAUGUUUGAAACAAUUUGCUUGUCUCAGAAGAAAAUUCUCUGCCAUUUAGCAGUGUCAUGAGCAGUUGAUUCACUUGAUUGAGGUCACAAUUCCACCGGCAAAGAUUACAUUGGGUAUUUGUAGCUGAAUGGUGCCAAAUAAAACACUUUUCACAAGAACCUGGCAAAUGUAUUAAAGUGGAAGUGAGCAUCUACACAAAAAAUGAAUACUUUCUCAAAUAUUUACAGUGAUAUAUUAUGCCUGUGUACAUCCUAAAUAUAUAUAAAUAUAUAACUAAUUACACAAGUAACUAGCAAAUAUACAAUGUCAACUUCCUUAAUUUUUUUCUCAAGUUCAUGUAUAGUGUAUCAAAAUAAACAUGCAAUAUU